Helianthus annuus (common sunflower) is the source of this 579-nucleotide long non-coding RNA. RefSeq lists it as uncharacterized. The record is from RefSeq and is a predicted model, not a curated record. Lineage: Eukaryota; Viridiplantae; Streptophyta; Magnoliopsida; Asterales; Asteraceae. The transcript is spliced from 4 exons.
UAAUUCUCCAUGGUGGUUGUUCCAUCACUUUACCUAAAACUCCUAUGAUUACUCAGAAGAGAAUAGAUAAUGGUUUUGAUUAUCUGACCAUUUCAAAAAUUCAUCCCCAAAACUGACUCAUUCAAAAUGUACUGCUACUUGCAUGGCGUGUCGGGAAGAUGGCCUUGAGGUUUUUGAUGGUUCUGAAUGCUUCACAUGCUUACAACUACUCAGGUACAGUUUCAUGCCUUGCAUCUCACAAUUUAUGUGUUCCACCUUCAUCAAGAUUCAAGCUUAAAACACACACAUUGAACAUUAUGAUAAGAACACUAAAGUUGGGAAACGUAUGCUAAAAGUCUUCAUAAAUCCUGCCAGCAAAUACGAAAAGAUGGCAAUCAAGGUUUAGUAGUGAUGAAGAUCAAGAGAAACGAUGUUGUUUAUCUACAUUCAUUGUGUUGCAUCAAUACGGAGUUGUGUUCUUCAUGGGAUGGAGUAGUGUUUUCUUCAUUUGGGGUAUAGAAAGUUAGGAAACUACAUUCAUUUGUGGUUGGAUAGUUUGUACAAUUUUAUUGUAAUAUAUUUUAUGAUUUUUUUUUUAAA